Ailuropoda melanoleuca (giant panda) is the source of this 100-nucleotide small nuclear RNA. The record is from Ensembl. Lineage: Eukaryota; Metazoa; Chordata; Mammalia; Carnivora; Ursidae.
GCUCACUUUGGCAGCUUACACGAAAAUUAGAACGACACAGAGAUUAGCGCCGCCCUUGCACGAGGAGGACAUGCAAAUUCAUCAAAUAUUCCAUAUUUUU